AUUGAACGCUGGCGGCAUGCUUUACACAUGCAAGUCGAACGGCAGCGCGGGCUUCGGCCUGGCGGCGAGUGGCGAACGGGUGAGUAAUACAUCGGAACGUGCCCAGUAGUGGGGGAUAGCUCGGCGAAAGCCGGAUUAAUACCGCAUACGACCUGAGGGUGAAAGCGGGGGAUCUUCGGACCUCGCGCUAUUGGAGCGGCCGAUGGCAGAUUAGCUAGUUGGUGGGGUAAAGGCCUACCAAGGCGACGAUCUGUAGCUGGUCUGAGAGGACGACCAGCCACACUGGGACUGAGACACGGCCCAGACUCCUACGGGAGGCAGCAGUGGAGAAUUUUGGACAAUGGGCGAAAGCCUGAUCCAGCAAUGCCGCGUGUGUGAUGAAGGCCUUCGGGUUGUAAAGCACUUUUGGCGGGAACGAAAAGGACUGUGCCAAUACCACGGUUCGAUGACGGUACCCGCAGAAUAAGCACCGGCUAACUACGUG
Molecule: ribosomal RNA, 484 nt
Filed under: uncultured bacterium
Lineage: Bacteria
Description: partial 16S ribosomal RNA
Rfam family: Bacterial small subunit ribosomal RNA
Source: RNAcentral